AUUUCUUAUCUUCUAGUGCUGGUGCUAUCAGUAAAAAUCUGGUUAUCACAAACCAUCCAACCUUCACAAGAGGAACAUUUAUUUUCCUAUGAACUUGAAAAUGUCAGUCUGGUGUCGUUUUAUAUUCAAGCAUCUGAGUAGUUUUAUUUGUGGCACUGUGACCUGGUCUUUUCCCUAUAUAAGACAAAAAUCCAUUGCCUAUCUGCUUGAAAUAUACUGAAGAUUUCUAAACAUCAGCCAAGAUGCAAAGGAUUUCUGUAUCUAGAUGACAGAACAGGGUCUUCAAAUCACCAAAUUGCAGCUGCACUUUAAUCAGCAAGAUCCUUGAGGAGAUGAGUAUCCAGGCAACCCUGUGGAAAAGCAGCAGUGAAGGAAAUUGUUCGGCACUGUAGUCAGUGGGAGGAGACCUUU
Molecule: long non-coding RNA, 411 nt
Organism: Empidonax traillii (willow flycatcher)
Lineage: Eukaryota; Metazoa; Chordata; Aves; Passeriformes; Tyrannidae
Exons: 4
Source: RefSeq, a predicted model, not a curated record